RNAcentral lists this ribosomal RNA (460 nucleotides) under uncultured bacterium. Its description in RNAcentral is "bacterial SSU rRNA". It matches the Rfam family "Bacterial small subunit ribosomal RNA", at positions 340 to 786 of the family's 1533-position model. The record is from RNAcentral.
UACGGAAGGCAGCAGUGGGGAAUAUUGCACAAUGGGCGCAAGCCUGAUGCAGCCAUGCCGCGUGUAUGAAAAAGGCCUUCGGGUUGUAAAGUACUUUCAGUCGUGAGGAAGGUGUUAAGGUUAAUAACCUUAGCAAUUGACGUUAGCGACAGAAGAAGCACCGGCUAACUCCGUGCCAGCAGCCGCGGUAAUACGGAGGGUGCGAGCGUUAAUCGGAAUUACUGGGCGUAAAGGGCACGCAGGCGGUUAAUUAAAGUUGGAUGUGAAAUCCCCGGGCUUAACCUGGGAAUGGCAUUCAAGACUGGUUAGCUAGAGUCUUGUAGAGGGGGUAGAAUUCCAUGUGUAGCGGUGAAAUGCGUAGAGAUGUGGAGGAAAUACCGGUGGCGAAAGGCGGCCCCCUGGACAAAAGACUGACGCUCAUGUGCGAAAAGCGUGGGGAGCAAAACAGGGAUUAGAUACC